GACGAACGCUGGCGGCGUGCUUAACACAUGCAAGUCGAACGGAAAGGCCCCUUUGGGGGUACUCGAGUGGCGAACGGGUGAGUAACACGUGAGUAACCUGCCCUUCACUUCGGGAUAACUUCAGGAAACUGGGGCUAAUACCGGAUAGGAAUCCUUGCUGCAUGGUGGGGGUUGGAAAGCUUCGGCGGUUUGGGAUGGAUUCGCGGCUUAUCUGCUUGUUGGUGGGGUAGUGGUUUACCAAGGCUUGGACGGUUAGCUGGCCGGGGAGGGCGACCGGCCACAUGGGGCUGGGGAAAGGCCCAGAAUCCUAAGGGGAGGAACCGGGGGGAAUAUUGGACAAUGGGCGGGAGGCUGAUGCAGCAACGCCGCGUGCGGGAUGACGGGCUUCGGGUUGUAAAACGCUUUCAGCAGGGGAGAAGCUUGUGGUGACGGUACCUGGAGAAGAAGCACCGGCUAACUACGUG
This 464-nucleotide ribosomal RNA is filed under the name uncultured bacterium. RNAcentral describes it as "partial 16S ribosomal RNA". It matches the Rfam family "Bacterial small subunit ribosomal RNA", at positions 28 to 507 of the family's 1533-position model. The record is from RNAcentral.